RNAcentral lists this transfer RNA (84 nucleotides) under Maridesulfovibrio gilichinskyi. Its description in RNAcentral is "Desulfovibrio sp. K3S tRNA_Leu_CAA". It matches the Rfam family "tRNA". Rfam says of the family: Transfer RNA (tRNA) molecules are approximately 80 nucleotides in length. The record is from RNAcentral. Lineage: Bacteria; Pseudomonadati; Thermodesulfobacteriota; Desulfovibrionia; Desulfovibrionales; Desulfovibrionaceae.
GCCGGGAUGGCGGAAUUGGUAGACGCAGCGGACUCAAAAUCCGCCGGUGGCAACGCCAUGAGAGUUCAAGUCUCUCUCCCGGUA